This 2457-nucleotide long non-coding RNA is filed under the name Ananas comosus (pineapple). RNAcentral's name for it is "long non-coding RNA (ACOM_LNC002879)". Lineage: Eukaryota; Viridiplantae; Streptophyta; Magnoliopsida; Poales; Bromeliaceae. The record is from RNAcentral.
AUCGGACCCUCUCUAUCUCUCUAUAUAUACAUAGAGAGAGAGAGAGAGAGUCCGAUUGGAAUAUUUCUAAUAAUACCAAGCACUCGAUAUUAUUAAGUUUACUAUCAUUAAAUAAUCUUUUGAUCAAUUCUAUUCCUUAGAUUAUGCUAUUCUACCAACUAUCUACUAUAUAAAUCUUAGAGGAUCAAUACCAAAUUCUAGAGGGCUAUUAUUAUUCUAACCCUAGAUAUACGUAGUUGAGUUAGAAUACUAUCGAUAGUAAACUAACUAGAUUGCUACUGAUUUAUUUUCGAUGGUGGAUCCUCCCAUUCGACGAUUGACACCAAUGAACACAAUUUCGACUACUCGAAAAUUUCAAAUCUUUUCGACAUUAGUGACCUAAUGAUCAAAUGGUAGCAACAUUUAUAAUUUUAAUAGUCGAUACGAGACAUUAUCUCGUGUAACUGUGUACAAUUAGAAUUCAAAUCUGUUGAAUAUUUGUUAAAAUUUUUUUAAAAAUAUUUAUAAAAAAAAUCUACACUUUUUAUCUUUAUUAUAAAAAUUCUAUUAUUAUUUUUUAAAGAAUAUUUAUCUUCAGCCGUUCAUUUUUAUGUCCACUUAAUGCAUAAAAGAGUAAUAUCGAAAAAAAUUUAAAUUUAAUUUUUAGAUAUUUAAAGUAGUCUAAAUAAUAUUCAACAAUGUCGUCCUUCGAUUCGGAUAUUAUAUUUAGAAGGUGGUUAAGUAUAAAACAUAAUAUAAUAAUAAGAGUCCGGCUAUAAUACUAUCGAUAGCACCAAACAUUUAGUGCCAUCAAGUUUUUUGUCGUUAGAUCAAUUCCUUUGACCAUUUUCAGCCGUCAGAUCUAUUGGAUUUUAUUGGGUUUAUUGGGUUUUUUGUGAUUUAAAACUUAUUAAAGCCUCUUAAGAGCCCAAUAAUUAUUAAUGGGCCGCUUGGGAGCCCAACUAAAAUUUUUAUGUGUGAUGUUUAGUCCCACAUUGAAAACUAAAAGGGUGUCUGUGGUUUUUAUAUAUUUCUUUAUUCUCAAACUAGUUGCUUGGAAGAAAAUGAAAGUAAUGCUCUUGUUUAAAUACACACGCACGGCACGAGUAUGAGCCGAGCCGGGUGAGCGGCGGCGCGCGCGGUCCAUACACCCGAUUUAUUUUAUCUUUAUUUUAAUCAUUAUCUUUAUCUUUCGAUUUAUUUUAUCUUUAUUUUAAUCAUUAUCUUUAUCUUUAUUCUAAUCCUAAUCCGUAUAAUCGUAGGUUUAUCUUGUUCUACACGGAUUUGACGCGUUGGAGCAAGAUUCUCGCCUUAAUUAUAAAUAUUGGGCGAUGUUGCACGAGUUGAGAGAGAACCCGAGCAUACCUAAACCCUCUCGUCUUUUCCUACUUUCUCGCUAUUAAUCGUUUCCGCCGAUUUUCUCUUUGCUGAAUCUGAAGCUUGUUGGGUUCAUCUUGCGCCACCUUGGAAGCGUGCCGACUAGGUGGAACGUGGUUGAUUUUCUCUUUGCUGGAUCUGAAGCUUGUUGGGUUCAUCUUGCGUCACCUUGGAAGCGUGCCGACGGGGUGGAACGUGGUCGUUGUAUCGCUAGGAGUAAUUGCCGGAAAGCCCGCACAUGGAGGGGCAAUUUCGCUUCUAGGACAGUACUCUGCACGCCUCGAUUCACAGGUCUUAUCUAAGCCUUUUAUUUACAGUAUUUGUUAUUUAAUUUUGUUUCCGAAUUUUUCUAAAUCUGAAAUUUAAAUUUUAGAAUUGAUUUUUAAAGAAUAUUAUAAUAAAAAAUCAGAACGAAAUUUUCCAACAAGAUCAUACUAUUCAACCAACCACCCACUCAACUCUAAGGGAUCACUAUCAUCCUAACCAUACAUCGCUUUAUCCAAGGACCGUACUUAAUAGCAUAAAUGACUUGAUGCUAUUAAUAAUAUUCUAGCCUAGUUCAUAAUAAUAAUAAUAAUAAUAAUAAUAAUAAUCUCCAUUUUAGGGCUAAAAUGUAAAAAUAAAAAAGAGAUAAUUGCUUAUAUAUUUCUCAAAACUUCGAAAUAUCUCAUUUACCCAUAUUUUUUUUUCCUUUCCAAUAUACCCCUCGUAUGCUCCUCCCUUAUUUCAGAAUGCCCCUACAGUUAUCACUCGUUAAAUUAAUUUGGAUUAAACGUGAGUUAUGCCUCUUUUGCCCUCAACUUAAGGGCAAAAUAAAAUACUGGUGAUGGUAGAAAGGUAUUUUUGAAAAGAUCAAAAGUCAAAUACAUGUUAUGUCCCUAACUUAAAGGUAAAUAAGAAAAGUCGGUGACGAUAGAAGAAUAUAUUUUUUAAAAGGACAAAAUAGUAAUUUUAUAGAGAUAACGGCUAUUACUAAUAGUUCAUUAACAGAAUUUAACUCUAGAAAUAUAUUUAAAAUAGAUUGAAAUUUAAAAUAAUAUUUAUUUUUAAUAUUAACUUUUUAAGAAGGAUAAAUCAGAAACUCGAAAAUUUUUCAAACUU